UUGAACGCUGGCGGCAUGCUUUACACAUGCAAGUCGAACGGCGGCGGGGGCUUCGGCCUGCCGGCGAGUGGCGAACGGGUGAGUAAUGCAUCGGAACGUACCCAGUCGUGGGGGAUAACUACGCGAAAGCGUGGCUAAUACCGCAUACGCCCUGAGGGGGAAAGCGGGGGACCUUCGGGCCUCGCGCGAUUGGAGCGGCUGAUGUCGGAUUAGCUGGUUGGUGGGGUAAAGGCCUACCAAGGCGACGAUCCGUAGCUGGUCUGAGAGGAUGAUCAGCCACACUGGGACUGAGACACGGCCCAGACUCCUACGGGAGGCAGCAGUUGGGAAUUUUGUACAAUGGGCGCAAGCCUGAUCCAGCCAUGCCGCGUGAGUGAAGAAGGCCUUCGGGUUGUAAAACUCUUUCGGCAGGAACGAAACGGUGGUUCCUAAUAUUAGCCACUAAUGACGGUACCUGAAGCAGAAGCACCGGCUACCUACGU
Molecule: ribosomal RNA, 482 nt
Filed under: uncultured bacterium
Lineage: Bacteria
Description: bacterial SSU rRNA
Rfam family: Bacterial small subunit ribosomal RNA
Source: RNAcentral